GCAGCAGGCGCGCAAAUUACCCACUCCCGGCACGGGGAGGUAGUGACGAAAAAUAACGAUACGGGACUCAUCCGAGGCCCCGUAAUCGGAAUGAGUAUACUCUAAAUCCUUAUACGAGUAUCAAUUGGAGGGCAAGUCUGGUGCCAGCAGCCGCGGUAAUUCCAGCUCCAAUAGCGUAUAUUAAAGUUGUUGCGGUUAAAAAGCUCGUAGUUGGAUCUGUGUCCCGCACCGUCGGUUCACCGCCUGUCGGUGUUCAACUGGCGUGUAUGCGGGACGUCCUGCCGGUGGCGGUCCGGUUCCCCUGCGGUACGUAGGGGUCGUCCUUGCCUUGCUUGCGUCGACCCCGAAGGCCGUCGUGGUGUUUCCGGCCGCCUUUUCGAUCCCGUCGCGGUGCUCUUUACCGAGUGUCGAGGCGGGCCGGCACGUUUACUUUGAACAAAUUAGAGUGCUUUAAGCAGGCCCUGUCCCGCCUGUAUGUUGUGUGCAUGGAAUAAUGGAAUAGGACCUCGGUUCUAUUUUGUUGGUUUUCGGAAUCUGAGGUAAUGAUCAAUGGGGACAGGCGGGGGCAUUCGUAUUGCGACGUUAGAGGUGAAAUUCUUGGAUCGUCGCAAGACGGACCGAAGCGAAAGCAUUUGCCAAGUAUGUUCUCGUCGAUCAAGAACGAAAGUUAGAGGUUCGAAGGCGAUCAGAUACCGCCCUAGUUCUAACCAUAAACUAUGCCUGCCAGCGAUCCGCCGAAGUUCCUCCGAUGACUCGGCGGGCAGCUUCCGGGAAACCAGAGCUUUUGGGUUCCGGGGGAAGUAUGGUUGCAAAGCUGAAACUUAAAGGAAUUGACGGAAGGGCACCACCAGGAGUGGAGCCUGCGGCUUAAUUUGACUCAACACGGGAAAACUCACCAGGCCCGGACACCGGAAGGAUUGACAGAUUGAGAGCUCUUUCUUGAUUCGGUGGGUGGUGGUGCAUGGCCGUUCUUAGUUGGUGGAGCGAUUUGUCUGGUUAAUUCCGAUAACGAACGAGACUCUAGCCUACUAACUAGGCGUACCCGGUAUCCACAAUCGUGCUACCGGCGGACAAAUUUCUUCUUAGAGGGACAGGCGGCUUCUAGCCGCACGAGACUGAGCAAUAACAGGUCUGUGAUGCCCUUAGAUGUCCUGGGCCGCACGCGCGCUACACUGAAGGAAUCAGCGUGUCUUCCCUGUCCGAAAGGACCGGGUAACCCGCUGAACCUCCUUUGUGCUAGGGAUUGGGGCUUGCAAUUGUUCCCCAUGAACGAGGAAUUCCCAGUAAGCGCGAGUCAUAAGCUCGCGUUGAUUACGUCCCUGCCCUUUGUACACACCGCCCGUCGCUACUACCGAUUGAAUGAUUUAGUGAGGUCUUCGGACUGGUGCGCGGAGGCCGCUCUCGCGGUUUCCGAUGUUGCUGGAAAGAUGACCAAACUUGAUCAUUUAGAGGAAGUAAAAGUCGUAACAAGGUUUCCGUAGGUGAAC
RNAcentral lists this ribosomal RNA (1487 nucleotides) under Falcidius limbatus. Its description in RNAcentral is "SSU rRNA". It matches the Rfam family "Eukaryotic small subunit ribosomal RNA", at positions 425 to 1814 of the family's 1831-position model. The record is from RNAcentral. Lineage: Eukaryota; Metazoa; Arthropoda; Insecta; Hemiptera; Issidae.